Molecule: non-coding RNA, 154 nt
Organism: Maylandia zebra (zebra mbuna)
Lineage: Eukaryota; Metazoa; Chordata; Actinopteri; Cichliformes; Cichlidae
Source: RefSeq, a predicted model, not a curated record
AAUAACCUCUCUGAAUAUGUUAUGCACGUGGAAGACAACAGAAAUGGAUCAGAUCAACAUCAAGAUGUCACAUACUCUCUUAUUGACCUUAAAAACCUUCAAAAGAAGAGGAAGCAUCAUGAACCAGAGCAGAGUGCUGUUUACUCUGAGGUGA